GGUGUUAAGAAGUCAUUAUCUAGGGAAAGCAUCAGCCUAUGGAGGGUACAGGCGUUGUGGGAAGUGAGCUGUGGAAGGCUGAUCACUAGGCGCACAGGAGGGAGCUGAUGGAGAGUCACAGAAUGGUUGGCCUGGGCUGUUGGGGCUCUCAGCACACAGGCUUUGAGUCUAAGAACUCUAGUUAAGAGCCAGUAAAAUGGCUCUGAAUAUAAAAGCAUUUGCCACACAAUUUGAUGACAGAAGCUGGAUCCCUGGCACUCAGCAGAAGAAAAAUGACUCCAAAAAGUUGUCAUCUGACCUCCCUUUUGGGCAUAGCAACCUGAAUCUUCCUGUUACGAUUUAUGAAGAACUGCUGAUGAGUAGAUAGGCAUUUUGAGGAUUUAAGGCAUCCUUGAUUCGCUGAAGAAUGACACCCUGGACUUAAAUAGUAUGUAAACACAAGGAGUGUUUUAUUCUGCAGAAGACAAGAAUGCUGGAAUCUCCCAUUACCAAACUAGAGAGACUCCCCAAAUGAGCUUGCAGGCCUUAUGUAAAGCACAUUAGGGAAUUCCGUGAUAAGUCAACCUCUAUGUUAAUCUGUUGGGUCCAUCUCUGUGGA
Molecule: long non-coding RNA, 598 nt
Organism: Mus caroli (Ryukyu mouse)
Lineage: Eukaryota; Metazoa; Chordata; Mammalia; Rodentia; Muridae
Source: RefSeq, a predicted model, not a curated record